RNAcentral lists this long non-coding RNA (579 nucleotides) under Homo sapiens (human). RNAcentral describes it as "non-protein coding lnc-POLR3A-5:1". The record is from RNAcentral. Lineage: Eukaryota; Metazoa; Chordata; Mammalia; Primates; Hominidae.
CAAGAGCUGUUCUUGCCCCUCUGUGUCUGACUCCGUGGGGUCCUCACACUCCCUCAAGUCGCACUGCCUGUCUGCACAGACGCCACUAUUUUUCUGGAGAGAUCAAAUUCAGCACAAUAAAGCGACACUUGUUAAAGGACGUAGCAAAAUCUGGUUUUCCAAGCCUAGUACUUUUAUCAUACGAACACCAGAGACUCUAAGGGAUCUUGGAGCCCAGUGGGGGUCCAGUGCUUCUGGUAGCAGAAAACUGCUCUUCAUGUAUAACCUUCCUUAGAAAGCUGAAUGUAGGACAAUCCUCUUAUUGCUGCAGAAACUGCUCUUCUCCUUCCUGGACUGCCUUCUUGGGUCUUUCCCUCCCUUUCUUUUCAACAGUCAGAGCAGACGCAGCCCCAAACAGUUCCCCGACACAGAGCCAGGAGCCCUCACUCCUUGCCUCUAAUUACCCUGUGAUAGAUGUUGGCGUUGCUGCUAAAGGUAUCUGCGUUCAGGCUUUAUGGUCAUUUUCCAACAGCCCAGACCUUUUAAACUCUCUUAUGGGAGCAGGUUAAGAUGAUUAUGCAGAUGGAUGGACCCCGGUGC